GACGAACGCUGGCGGCGUGCUUAACACAUGCAAGUCGAACGGAAAGGCCCUGCUUUUGUGGGGUGCUCGAGUGGCGAACGGGUGAGUAACACGUGAGUAACCUGCCCUUGACUUUGGGAUAACUUCAGGAAACUGGGGCUAAUACCGGAUAGGAGCUCCUGCUGCAUGGUGGGGGUUGGAAAGUUUCGGCGGUUGGGGAUGGACUCGCGGCUUAUCAGCUUGUUGGUGGGGUAGUGGCUUACCAAGGCUUUGACGGGUAGCCGGCCUGAGAGGGUGACCGGCCACAUGGGGACUGAGAUACGGCCCAGACUCCUACGGGAGGCAGCAGUGGGGAAUAUUGCACAAUGGGCGGAAGCCUGAUGCAGCAACGCCGCGUGCGGGAUGACGGCCUUCGGGGUGUAAACCGCUUUCGCCUGUGACGAAGCGUGAGUGACGGUAAUGGGUAAAGAAGCACCGGCUAACUACGU
Molecule: ribosomal RNA, 467 nt
Filed under: uncultured bacterium
Lineage: Bacteria
Description: partial 16S ribosomal RNA
Rfam family: Bacterial small subunit ribosomal RNA
Source: RNAcentral